Molecule: unclassified non-coding RNA, 327 nt
Filed under: Hevea brasiliensis (rubber tree)
Lineage: Eukaryota; Viridiplantae; Streptophyta; Magnoliopsida; Malpighiales; Euphorbiaceae
Source: RNAcentral
CUGCUUUCUCUAUUUUCUUGUAUGUGCCUUGCUCAGAUUUCUUAUCACCAUCCCUUUUGAUUCACUUCAAUAAUGACUUUGGGGAUGCUCAUUUUUUUUUAAGCCAUGGGGAUGCUCAUUUAGUAAACAAGAAACACAUAAAAUUUUGAGAAUAUUUUGAGAGAGAUAUGGUGUGAUGGCUUUCUUUCUCAUCCUGAGGCAUCAAAUCUCUGGCUCUUCUUUUAUUUGUUCAAACCAACUUAGGACAUUUUAGAGUAAAGGUUUCAUAAACUGGGCAGGUAAUCCUGCAUCACAUAGGCAAUGAAAAGGACUAAUGGAUGAGAAUAG